AGAGUUUGAUUCUGGCUCAGGACGAACGCUGGCGGCAUGCCUAACACAUGCAAGUCGAACGGACAUAACCAAGUUAUAGCGAUAUAAUGCGGGUAUGUUAGUGGCGAACGGGUGAGUAACACGUGAGCAACCUGCCCUGUACAACGGGAUAACAGUUGGAAACGACUGCUAAUACGGUAUAAGACCACACUGCGGCAUCGCAGAGGGGUAAAAGUGAAUUAGCGGUACAGGAUGGGCUCGCGUCCAAUUAGCUAGUUGGUGAGGUAACGGCUCACAAAGGCGACGAUUGGUAGCCGACCUGAGAGGGUGAUCGGCCACACUGGAACUGAGACACGGUCCAGACUCCUACGGGAGGCAGCAGUGGGGAAUAUUGGGCAAUGGAGGAAACUCUUACCCAGCAAUGCCGCGUGAAGGAAGAAGGUCUUCGGAUUGUAAACUUCUUUUAUUGGGGACGAAUAAAUGACGGUACCCGAUGAAUAAGCCCCGGCUAACUAUGUGCCAGCCGCCGC
RNAcentral lists this ribosomal RNA (509 nucleotides) under uncultured bacterium. RNAcentral describes it as "bacterial SSU rRNA". It matches the Rfam family "Bacterial small subunit ribosomal RNA", at positions 8 to 518 of the family's 1533-position model. The record is from RNAcentral.